ACACAGGAGAAGAAAUGGGUGAAGGCACAGGCGAAGAAAUAGCCACAGGCGAAGGUGGAGGAACAAGAGGAGGCGGCAAACGUAGAAAAGGUGGCAUGGUUGGGCGUAGGGGAGGCGGCAAAUGUAGGAAAGGUGGCAAGGUUAAAUGUAGAGGAGGCGGCAAACGUAGAAAAGGUGGCAUGGUUGGGCGUAGAAGAGGCGGCAAACGUAGAAGAGGUGGCAUGGUUGGGCGUAGAAGAGGCAGCAAACGUAGAAGAGGUGGCAUGUUUGGGCGUAGAAGAGGUGGCAAACGUAGAAGAGGUGGCAUGGGUAAAAGACGAGGCAAACGUAGUGCAGAAGGAAAUAGCGAGAGCGACGGGUAAGAGAAACAGGUAUUGGGACUACAAUGAUACAGAUAGCGG
Molecule: long non-coding RNA, 401 nt
Organism: Sander lucioperca (pikeperch)
Lineage: Eukaryota; Metazoa; Chordata; Actinopteri; Perciformes; Percidae
Exons: 3
Source: RefSeq, a predicted model, not a curated record